Molecule: ribosomal RNA, 409 nt
Filed under: uncultured bacterium
Lineage: Bacteria
Description: partial 16S ribosomal RNA
Rfam family: Bacterial small subunit ribosomal RNA
Source: RNAcentral
UGGGGAAUAUUGCACAAUGGGGGAAACCCUGAUGCAGCGACGCCGCGUGGGGGAUGACGGCCUUCGGGUUGUAAACCUCUUUCAGUAGGGAAGAAGCCUUCGGGUGACGGUACCUGCAGAAGAAGUACCGGCUAACUACGUGCCAGCAGCCGCGGUAAUACGUAGGAUACAAGCGUUGUCCGGAAUUAUUGGGCGUAAAGAGCUCGUAGGUGGUCUGUCACGUCUGCUGUGGAAACGCAAGGCUCAACCUUGCGCGUGCAGUGGGUACGGGCGGACUAGAGUGCAGUAGGGGAGUCUGGAAUUCCUGGUGUAGCGGUGAAAUGCGCAGAUAUCAGGAGGAACACCGGUGGCGAAGGCGGGACUCUGGGCUGUAACUGACGCUGAGGAGCGAAAGCAUGGGGAGCGAACA